This 72-nucleotide transfer RNA is filed under the name Teratoscincus microlepis (Small-scaled wonder gecko). RNAcentral describes it as "tRNA-Gln". Lineage: Eukaryota; Metazoa; Chordata; Lepidosauria; Squamata; Sphaerodactylidae. The record is from RNAcentral.
UUAGAAGAACAGGCAUCGAACCCAUACCGUAAGACUCAAAAUCUUAUGUACUUCCAAUUAUACCACCUUCUA